RNAcentral lists this microRNA precursor (125 nucleotides) under Myotis davidii. Its description in RNAcentral is "mir-9193 microRNA precursor family". It matches the Rfam family "mir-9193 microRNA precursor family". Lineage: Eukaryota; Metazoa; Chordata; Mammalia; Chiroptera; Vespertilionidae. The record is from Rfam by way of RNAcentral.
CGUGCACCGGUGGGGUCCCUCGGCCUGGCCUGUGCCCUCUUGCAAUCCAGGUCCCCUGGAGGAUGUCGGAGAGCCAGAUUCAGCCCAAUCUCACAGGCCAGGCCGAGGGACCCCACCAGUGCACG